This 464-nucleotide ribosomal RNA is filed under the name Vreelandella stevensii. RNAcentral describes it as "partial 16S ribosomal RNA". It matches the Rfam family "Bacterial small subunit ribosomal RNA", at positions 338 to 795 of the family's 1533-position model. Lineage: Bacteria; Pseudomonadati; Pseudomonadota; Gammaproteobacteria; Oceanospirillales; Halomonadaceae. The record is from RNAcentral.
CCUACGGGAGGCAGCAGUGGGGAAUAUUGGACAAUGGGGGCAACCCUGAUCCAGCCAUGCCGCGUGUGUGAAGAAGGCCCUCGGGUUGUAAAGCACUUUCAGUGAGGAAGAACGCCUGGUGGUUAAUACCCAUCAGGAAAGACAUCACUCACAGAAGAAGCACCGGCUAACUCCGUGCCAGCAGCCGCGGUAAUACGGAGGGUGCGAGCGUUAAUCGGAAUUACUGGGCGUAAAGCGCGCGUAGGUGGCUUGAUAAGCCGGUUGUGAAAGCCCCGGGCUCAACCUGGGAACGGCAUCCGGAACUGUCAAGCUAGAGUGCAGGAGAGGAAGGUAGAAUUCCCGGUGUAGCGGUGAAAUGCGUAGAGAUCGGGAGGAAUACCAGUGGCGAAGGCGGCCUUCUGGACUGACACUGACACUGAGGUGCGAAAGCGUGGGUAGCAAACAGGAUUAGAUACCCUGUAGUC